This 468-nucleotide ribosomal RNA is filed under the name uncultured bacterium. Its description in RNAcentral is "partial 16S ribosomal RNA". It matches the Rfam family "Bacterial small subunit ribosomal RNA", at positions 28 to 507 of the family's 1533-position model. The record is from RNAcentral.
GACGAACGCUGGCGGCGUGCUUAACACAUGCAAGUCGAACGGAAAGGCCCUGCUUUUGUGGGGUGCUCGAGUGGCGAACGGGUGAGUAACACGUGAGUAACCUGCCCUUGACUUUGGGAUAACUUCAGGAAACUGGGGCUAAUACCGGAUAGGAGCUCCUGCUGCAUGGUGGGGGUUGGAAAGUUUCGGCGGUUGGGGAUGGACUCGCGGCUUAUCAGCUUGUUGGUGGGGUAGUGGCUGACCAAGGCUUUGACGGGUAGCCGGCCUGAGAGGGUGACCGGCGACAUUGGGACUGAGGUACGGCCCAGACUCCUACGGGAGGCAGCAGUGGGGAAUAUUGCACAAUGGGCGGAAGCCUGAUGCAGCAACGCCGCGUGCGGGAUGACGGCCUUCGGGUUGUAAACCGCUUUCGCCUGUGACGAAGCGUGAGUGACGGUAAUGGGUAAAGAAGCACCGGCUAACUACGUG